This 598-nucleotide long non-coding RNA is filed under the name Zea mays. Its description in RNAcentral is "drought responsive lncRNA". Lineage: Eukaryota; Viridiplantae; Streptophyta; Magnoliopsida; Poales; Poaceae. The record is from RNAcentral.
GGUUUAUGAGGUUGUCAAGUUUUCAUUUCAAUGCAAAUCCAGCUGGACAACACCAUGUCACAAAGCAGUGUGCUUCUAGAUACAGUUCAGUCUUGGCGUCAUCGAAUCAAUGAAACAUGAAGUUAGAAGCACACCGAGAUCCAGUGGCUUGUGACCCCUUGACCCUUUAGAGGAAGCGCACUAGAGUCGUUGGCAAGAAGAAGAGGAUCGCCAAGAAGAAGUCUGAGGCUGCCGAGUACCAAAAGCUUCUUGCUCAGAGGCUGAAGGAAUAGAGAGACCGCGAGAGCUUGGCCAAGAGGAGGUCCAAGCUUUCUGCCGCUUCCAAGGCUUCCGCUACCAUCGCCGCUUAAGAAUGUUCGAUGCUUUGAUAUGUUUCAAGACCUAUCUUGUUACAGCUUAAAUACCUUAUGCUACUCUGAUUGUGUUGCAACUUGCAACUGCCCCUGUACUUGAUAGAUUUGUAUUAGAUGCUCAAGCUACAGAGGGUAGGUUCCUAAUUAUGACCAUAUGACUAUGUACUAAAUUAUAUAUCUGUUGCUAAGUUAAAAUACAUACAAAAUAAGUUUACUCCGACCAUCUUGUAGAAAAACAAGUUAUA